RNAcentral lists this ribosomal RNA (447 nucleotides) under uncultured bacterium. RNAcentral describes it as "bacterial SSU rRNA". It matches the Rfam family "Bacterial small subunit ribosomal RNA", at positions 355 to 825 of the family's 1533-position model. The record is from RNAcentral.
UGGGGAAUAUUGGACAAUGGGCGCAAGCCUGAUCCAGCCAUGCCGCGUGAGUGACGAAGGUCUUCGGAUUGUAAAACUCUUUUGGCGGGGACGAUAAUGACGGUACCCGCAGAAUAAGCCCCGGCUAACUUCGUGCCAGCAGCCGCGGUAAUACGAAGGGGGCUAGCGUUGUUCGGAAUCACUGGGCGUAAAGCGCACGUAGGCGGAUGUGCCAGUCAGGGGUGAAAUCCCGGAGCUCAACUCCGGAACUGCCUCUGAUACUGCACGUCUUGAGUUCGAGAGAGGUGGGUGGAAUUCCUAGUGUAGAGGUGAAAUUCGUAGAUAUUAGGAAGAACACCGGUGGCGAAGGCGGCCCACUGGCUCGAUACUGACGCUGAGGUGCGAAAGCGUGGGGAGCAAACGGGAUUAGAUACCCAAGUAGUCCCUGAGCGGGCUGGCAAGGCGCAU